Molecule: long non-coding RNA, 5752 nt
Organism: Passer domesticus (house sparrow)
Lineage: Eukaryota; Metazoa; Chordata; Aves; Passeriformes; Passeridae
Exons: 2
Source: RefSeq, a predicted model, not a curated record
AGAAAGAUCAGGUUUUGGCUGCAGAAGGGGGGCCAAGCAGAGAUAGGGCAUUUUUCUGUGACAAACAACCACAACACAGCACAGCGCAAGCGCAGGAAUGAGUGGCAGGGAGGGGGCAUGGACUAUAGGGUGGGAUUAAGAGCCCCAAAGACCCCCAGAGCCCUCCAACCCAUUUCCAGAAAGGUCUGAAAGAACGGACUGCGCAUGAGAACUAAUUUACAUGGAAAGCAAGAAACCCAUCUUUGGGGUGGGGAAACCUGCCUAUAAAUGCCCAGGCAACAUCCUCAGAACCCUGGACAUCUCAUCAACUAGACCAAGACAGCUGCAUUGUCUCUGAAACCAGGAUCAACAUCCCAUCAGCUGGAUCGGUGCUGAGAUCAGGAUCGACAUCCCAUCAGCUGGAUCAGCGCUGGAACCAAGGCUGGAAAGCCUAACAACCUGUUCCUGUUGGCAUGAAUCUCAUGUUGGUAAAGAAGCUGCCACAUUACAACCUGAGACAGCUGUUGAAGCAAGCACAAGACCAAGAAAAGAAGUCUGGUUCUGUUCAUCACAAUGUGAAAGGCAGCCACUGAGUGAUGGAACAAGUGAAGAUAGACAAGGAACACCACUGGUGGGACAUUUUAUUUGAGUCAUUGCCAAUAGCAGCAAGGAUUUUUAACAAAAUGUUGCACCUUUUGCUUGUCUUUUUGAUGUUAGUCAUUCUCUUUUUCAUUUUAGUAGUAGGUUUGCACAUUGUAUAGAAUUAUAGAUUACCCCCAAUGCUUAGAAACAGCUUAUAGAUUGUAUUUGUCCCUCUAUUCUUCUGUCCCUCUCUCUCUUCUUUUCCUAUUUCCAGUUAUCACCAAGUCCAUAUCAAAAUCUGAGCCAUAGGGUGUAGUGUAGAAGCCCCAUAAGUUUGCUGUUCCAGUGUGGAAUGUGCCUUUUGGUUUUUUUUGGUUUUUUUGUUUGUUUUUUUUUUUUUUUUAGAAGGCAGCAGUGAUGGGCCUAAGAGUUUAUGGGUUGAGUUUCCUGGAGUCACUUCCCACCAGAUGGUAUAUUGCCAAGGCUCUCUGACCCUGUCAGGUACACCAGAGUCAGGGAGCAGUUGUGGGGGAUAUAUCAGGUCCCCCGGGACACACAACUGGCACAGGGAGCAGCUGUGGGGUAAGUGGUUGUUAAGCCCAGCACAUGUGCAUUGCAGCAGAUCCAGCACCUUCUCUGCAUCAUGGACAUCCAGAUGAUGUAGUGCACAUGGAGCUUGUUGCUUCCCAGGCCAGUCUGCUAGAUUUCCAGCCACAUUCCACAAUCUCCCUUUCCCAGCAUCAUAUCCCACUGAGGUUUGUUGUAGAUUUCCAGGAAACUGGAGGAAAAAACUUCCCAUCUGGCCUUAGGUGAAGAGGCAUAGCAGUCCAGGGUUGCCUGGAGGAGCAGAUGAAUCUUCUGGAAUACUUUCUUUGGUAAGCUCUGGGUGGGAAGACAUUGAAGCUGAAGUUGUAGUGAAGACCUGGGCUGCACUCCCAACACAUGUGGGACACCUUUGGGCCACUUCAGCACCAGUGCCCCGGGCUCCUGGAGGGUGAAGGGCAGGUGCCACAGCCCCUGCUGCCAGUCUGAUUCCUUUGGAACCACUGGCAGCAGAACACCGGGAUAUUCCUCUUGAGCACCUGUCUUGUGGAAGUGCUACUCUUUCUGCUCUUCCAGGAGAGUUUUCUGGAAUAUUUCCCAGACCCAGAGCUUGGCCACGUGGUCCACAUGAACCCACAGAUGCUUGUUCAUUAAGAUCAGGCAGGUCUUCAUGACUUUCAGCUGCUCCCUCAGCACCCACUACCAGCCUUUGGCCCCACCACGCUCCCACCACCGCUGCUCCUCUACCUACAGCCACCGCUUUUCAUCUGCCGAAACUGUAGACUUGCACCUGCUCUGCUACAGCUCCAUCUAAAAUUCCAACAGCGCAAACUCCAUGGAGCCCACCCAAAUACUGUUGGCUGUUACCCUGGCAUUCCUGCCCUUGCUGCUCCCUCUGGAGCCCCGCCAGGCACUGCUUCAGUUUCCCACUCCUUCUUCUCCAUCUCCAGGUCCCCGAGACACUCAUAGGCCCUCCACAGUAGCCCCUGCAAACCCUUCAUUUGGCUCCACAGGUCCCAAAGGCGUUGUUGGAGGAUGCCAGGAAGAGAAGGACCAGAAUUACAGCAGUCUGAAGACAGGCAUUCAUACAGGUGUUUUUUAAAUUUUAGCAGCUGGCCACUUCAUUUAAUAUUGGACCCAGCAGCCUUGUUCCUCUGUCAGAUAAACUGGUGGUAACUAGUUAUGCUGGAACAACUCCACAUCUGCCCAAAUGCAAAUAUCUUGACUUGUAAAAUGUGCAAAAACUAUAAACACUCUGUGUAAACUAAGUAUAAGGAGGGAGUCUCUGCACCAUAUUGGCAAGAAACUGUUCUAUGAAGAAAACCCAUGCCGUUUUGUACUUUUAGGUACUGCCUGCAAUUUAUUCACCUCCUUGAAGGCAAAUAUUCACUCAUCCAGUUGAACACAUGACUUUUUGAGUACAUAAAAAUUUCUCUGACUAAACACUUUUUCCACAUGAACAUCUUUUCCACCACAGAAAUGUCAAAUAUGCCUUUGUAACUAUAUAGGCUGGACUGUCAUCUGACAAAUGCUCAUUAGUCUUAUAGAAAUAAGCAUCCACUAUGAGGGGAUGUGACUUUAACUAUCCAGCUCCUGUCACAACACAGGAAUUACUACACUUUACCUAUACAUACUGUUGAGAUUUACUGCCUAUCCCCUUUGAGAUGAAUUGUGCAUUAGUGAAAAAAAUCACUGCAGCAAGAUGAUCUGUGUCGACUACUGGAAUGCACCCAGAGCAAUGGACACAGAAACCCAAGUACAGAAAAGAUACAUAACAUAGAAAUGAUCUUGGAAAGAGUGAUGAAAAUUGGAGAGCAUCACUAGUGGGACAUUUGGUUUGGGUGGUCAUCAGCUGCAACAAGAAUUCUAGACACAAUGUUGCACUUUAUUGUAAUUUUUGUGAUUUAUGUUGUAUUAUUCUUACUGUUGAAUAUAGUUCUAUAUGUUAGAGUGUGUAUACUAGCUAGACAUGUACUGCUGUCGCACAGACAUCCUCACCUAUAAUAUUGUUUUAUCAUGUUCAAAGCAAUCUUUAAAAACCCCAUUAUUUAGGUAACCUGGUCAAGAAUUUCCAUCAACUUAAAAUUGGAGCAUGAUACAUUCUUGUUUAUAGGCACAGAGACAAGAGGUGACCAGACUGCCAAUCUGUCAGUUCCCAGGAACUACUGCUGUCUAAUGAGCUCCAGUUUUUUGACCAACAGCCUUGGAAACUGUCAUGGUUUGACUCUGGCACAAUGCCAGUGCCUCCAUGAAAAUACACUUUCUCUAGUGGCUUCUGUGAGAUGUGAUCAGGAACAGAGCAAAGCAGGCUCCAACUUCUGUCCGGCCGUGCUGCCAGUCCAUGAUAUCGAAUUUCAAGGCAGCACAGGCACUGGCUCUCUCUCUCUCCCCCAGAGGGUACGAGAUGGGGGGACCUGAUGCCUCUCAGGGCUCCUCAGGGCUCCUUCCAUCUUGCCAGGCCUUCACCCCGCUCCUCUGCCCAAGGCUCCGGCCUCCCUCACCCGGCCGCAUGGCUUCCCUCCCCAGCCAGCCCCAGCUGGGCAGGGGAGCUCUGACCGGGACCAAGGGAGAGUUCUCCUGGGAGUUCUUGCUUUUAACCCCCUGUGUUCUCAGAGGCAGUCCAUACCUUCAGUGGCCAAACCAGGUGCCAAUAUUCAAAUCCAAGCACUGAUUGGUUUGACCACAACCUCCCAAAAAACUCACUUCCUUCUUAACCUAGGAUAGAAACUUAUUUUUCUUCCUGGGGAAAAAAAAAAAAAAAAAAAAAAAAAAAAAAAAAAGUUACUUUAAGAAAGUAACUGGCCUCAAUUGAGGUCAGGAUGGAAAACUCCUAUGACUAAAGCCCACUCUCUUGUGACAUUAUAAACAGUGGUCUAAAGUGAGACUCUUGGAGUUCUGCUCAGGGGCUGGACCACAGGGUCUAUGAUCAGCACCUCCCUCUGAGUGGGGCCUCUCAGAGCCAGAGAACACUCAAGCUUGCCAAAUUUGGAGGACAAGCUCCAAACAACAAUGAUGAUUUCUGAGCUCAUACCCCACUCCUCAAGGUUCAACCUUGACCUCACUGAAAAGAUGCAAAGGUAUGCAAAGUGACUACUACACUGAAUUCAAAGGGAUUUUUUCACAGGUGUAUCUUGAACAGACUGUGUUUGUGUGCAUGCAAGUGUGAAAAUGCUGGAGCAAAUACACAAGGAAGGUUGUUCCAGCUUAGUAUUUUAGAAUUAAGCCUGUAAGUUUUAUAAAUUCUAUGUUCUAUUCUAUUUCUAUAGUAAAUUAUAUCCAUUGCUAAGUAAUUUAAGUUAGAUUAUCUAUUAAGUGCCAUUAAGUGUUAAAUACUGUUAAGUGUUGUUAAGUUUAGGUUCUGUUAAGUGCUGUUAGGUUUAAGUGCUGUUAAAUUUCAUUUCUGUUAAGUGCUAUUAAGUUUAAGUGAGGUUAGGUUCUGUUAAGUUGAAAUUAUAUUAGGUUUAAGUUUUGUUGAUUUUAAAGUCUGUUAAGUUCUAUUAAGGUUAAGUUCUGUUAAAUUUAAGUGAUGUUAUAUGUUAGUUCUGUUGAUUUCAAGUUCUGUUAAAUUUAAGAUCUGUUAAGGUUAAGCUCUGUUAAAUUUAGGUGAUACAUAUAAAUUCUGUUAAUUUAAAGUUCUGUUAGUUUUAAGUUCUGUUAAGAUUUGGUUUUGUUAAGGUUAGGGUCUGUUAAAUUUAAAUUCUACUAAGAUUAAAUUCUGUUAAGUUUAAUUUCUGUUAAGUUUAAGUGAAGUUAAGUAAAAGUGAUGUUAAGGUUAAGUUCUGUUAAGUUUAAGUAUUUUAAGUUUAGGUGUUUUAAGUUUAAGUGCUAUUAGGUUUAAGUGAUACUAAGGUUAAGUACUGCUGGGUGUUUGGCAUAAACUGUAGGCCUGGUCUGGGCCCAGUUUAACAUGGGGAUAUACUCUGAACCUUGUGACCCAACACAAGGGGAUUGCACAUUUCUUUUUAACCUUACUUCUUCCUAUCCUCUUCUCUUCCCACUCCUUUCCACACCCCCACCCCCAUCCUCGCACAGAUGCCUAAAGAAGCCCCCUGGAACAGAGGCUAGAGAGAGUUGAAGAAUAAAGUGGGUAUUUAUUAAAUGGCCUUCAAGGAUACACCUUAGGCAGUACAUUGGCUUGGCCAAUGCCACACCCAAGAUGGACCCAAGAUGGAUGACCAGUCAUCAGUCUUCACACUUUUAUAAGUUUUGGUCCAUUUACAGAUUAGGAUUAACUGUCCAAUUACAGCUUCAGGUUAUGAAGUCCCAUCCUCCUGGUUUGCUGUCUUCAAUUUUCCUUCUUUUGGCCCUGAAGCUGCAAGAAUGUCCUUGAUUCUCAGGCUGGAAAUAAAUUGUUUUGUCUAACUACACUGUGAAGAGAGCUUGUUAACACUUUAUAUGAAGUUCAGAGCUAUAUACUAAAGCAAUACAGAAUCUGGAAAAUAUGAAAGUUAAAACUUAAGGCAUUACCACCUCCCCUCUUACCCACCCUCCCCUGCCGCUUACUAGCCUUCACAUAGGUAGUUUAAAAUUGGCUUGAGGUUUUUUUUUUGCUUUCUCCCUAUGCUUUAACCAUCUAGUAAGUAGAGCGAAUCUUGCCGACAUGCUUUGUCAUGCUUUCACUUCUAUAAUAAAUCUGCUUUAGCAAAUA